This 1100-nucleotide ribosomal RNA is filed under the name Pediococcus pentosaceus. RNAcentral's name for it is "bacterial SSU rRNA". It matches the Rfam family "Bacterial small subunit ribosomal RNA", at positions 381 to 1480 of the family's 1533-position model. The record is from RNAcentral. Lineage: Bacteria; Bacillati; Bacillota; Bacilli; Lactobacillales; Lactobacillaceae.
UUUUGAGGAACAACCCCCCUGGAAGGAAAAAGGUUUUCGCUUAAAAAACUUCUUUUUUAAAGAAGAACGGGGGUAAGAGUAACUGUUUCCCCAGGGACGGUAUUAACCAGAAAGCCAGGGCUAACUACGUGCCAGCAGCCGCGGUAAUACGUAGGUGGCCAGCGUUAUCCGGAUUUAUUGGGCGUAAAGCGAGCGCAGGCGGUCUUUUAAGUCUAAUGUGAAAGCCUUCGGCUCAACCGAAGAAGUGCAUUGGAAACUGGGAGACUUGAGUGCAGAAGAGGACAGUGGAACUCCAUGUGUAGCGGUGAAAUGCGUAGAUAUAUGGAAGAACACCAGUGGCGAAGGCGGCUGUCUGGUCUGCAACUGACGCUGAGGCUCGAAAGCAUGGGUAGCGAACAGGAUUAGAUACCCUGGUAGUCCAUGCCGUAAACGAUGAUUACUAAGUGUUGGAGGGUUUCCGCCCUUCAGUGCUGCAGCUAACGCAUUAAGUAAUCCGCCUGGGGAGUACGACCGCAAGGUUGAAACUCAAAAGAAUUGACGGGGGCCCGCACAAGCGGUGGAGCAUGUGGUUUAAUUCGAAGCUACGCGAAGAACCUUACCAGGUCUUGACAUCUUUUGACAGUUUAAGAGAUUAGAGGUUCCCUUCGGGGACAGAAUGACAGGUGGUGCAUGGUUGUCGUCAGCUCGUGUCGUGAGAUGUUGGGUUAAGUCCCGCAACGAGCGCAACCCUUAUUACUAGUUGCCAGCAUUAAGUUGGGCACUCUAGUGAGACUGCCGGUGACAAACCGGAGGAAGGUGGGGACGACGUCAAAUCAUCAUGCCCCUUAUGACCUGGGCUACACACGUGCUACAAUGGAUGGUACAACGAGUCGCGAGACCGCGAGGUUAAGCUAAUCUCUUAAAACCAUUCUCAGUUCGGACUGUAGGCUGCAACUCGCCUACACGAAGUCGGAAUCGCUAGUAAUCGCGGAUCAGCAUGCCGCGGUGAAUACGUUCCCGGGCCUUGUACACACCGCCCGUCACACCAUGAGAGUUUGUAACACCCAAAGCCGGUGGGGUAACCUCUUAGGAGCUAGCCGUCUAAGUGGACAGAGUUGGGA